GGGACACCCUAAGGAAAAGCAGGGCAAAUCAGAAACUGGGACGGCUUCUCUAAAUCAGAGACAUUCCUGGAAAAUAGAGACACUUGGGGUGGGUUCUGUCACAGCUGCCACCAUCACCGCUCAGGACAAGUGCUGGCUCAUCCUCUCCCCUGAGCUUGGCAACAGCAGUGCUGGUGGGGGAAAGAGCCACAUUCCAGGAUGAAAUCAGAAGCUGGAGUGGCUUUUGUAAUUUUGGGACUGUCUCUGGGAAAUCGGGACACUUGG
This is a non-coding RNA of Podarcis lilfordi (Lilford's wall lizard), 264 nucleotides long. NCBI's taxonomy places the organism in Eukaryota, Metazoa, Chordata, Lepidosauria, Squamata, Lacertidae. The record is from the annotation of a GenBank genome assembly.